RNA transcript from Vigna angularis (adzuki bean), 4211 nucleotides. RefSeq lists it as uncharacterized. Lineage: Eukaryota; Viridiplantae; Streptophyta; Magnoliopsida; Fabales; Fabaceae. The transcript has 10 exons. The record is from RefSeq and is a predicted model, not a curated record.
AAAAAAAUGACAUCUCUAUAUAAAUUUGGCAAUUGUCUUGACUGGUGUGUUUUGCUACGUAUGAGAGGGUAAAGUUCUGGAAUGUUCUCUCUGCAAGGCAGUUGUUUCUUCUCUCCGCACCGGUAAAUUCAAAAGAAACCAAGUGAUGGAAACGAGUGAGGGCUUUUCGAGAUUGAUAUUAUCUUGGUCUCUUGAAGAUAUACUCAACAAUGAUCUUUACAAAGACAAGGUGAAGCAAAUUCCAAAGACAUUCUUGUCCGUAGCUCACUAUUUGAAAUCAUUUACUUUUCCACUUAUUGAGGAAACUCGUACAGAUUUAUGCUCAAGCAUGAAGAUGUUGUCAGAGGCUCCAGUGUAUGAAAUAACCGACAUUGCUUUUUCUGAAAAUUAUAAACCUCCACAUGAUUUGUUAUACCAGAUAGAAAUGAAAGCAUUGGUAGAUAGUGAUAGAAAAGGGGAUAUAUGUGAGCCUGAGAUUGGACAACUUUUUACUUUGACUAAAACAAGGCCAAAAUGCAUAGAUGAUUUGAACAAGCGUGGAAAUUCCUAUCUUACUGGUUUAAUUGGGAAGGUUAGAAAGAAAAAAGACGAGGAAGAUGUUUAUGAGGUUCAAAUACUAGCUUCAAAGCCCAUUAAAUUGGAAAUGUACUGGCAGGAGGAUGGCACAUAUGUAUAUGGCAUAUAUGGUUUUGCUGCCUAUCUUAUUAAUAUAACAACAAAUAUGCGUAUAUGGAAUGCACUGAACUCAGAUCCAGAAGGUCCAGAUAUCCAUGUGAUCAAACAACUGCUCCAACCUGAUCCUGCUGUUGGGGGAAAUUGCGCUCAAUGUUUCUCUAGUGAAAGGUACACUAUUGAUGUGUCAAAUAUUGGUGCUGUUAUUCGAUCAUUUGAUUUGAACAAAGCUCAAGAAGAGGGAGUUUUAAGUUGUUUAGCUGCAAGGGAGUGCUCUCACAAAAAUACUGUGAAAUUGAUUUGGGGCCCUCCAGGGACAGGGAAAACAAAAACAGUUGGCUCAUUACUAUUUUCCCUCCUCAAAAGGAAAUGCAGAACACUUACUUGUGCCCCAACUAAUGUGGCUGUGCUGGAAGUGAUUUCCAGGUUUCUUAGGCUAGUGAUGGACUCCAUUGAUUAUCACACUUAUGGUCUUGGAGACAUAGUGUUAUUUGGCAAUAGAAAGCGAAUGAGUAUUGACGAUCGAGAUGAUCUUCUUGAUAUAUUUCUUGAUUACCGUGUAAAUAUUCUUGCCAGGUGCUUUGCACCCUUGUCUGGUUGGAAACAUCAUUUAGAACUGGUAAUUCGGUUACUUGAAAUCCCUGAAGAGCAGUAUCAUGAAUAUUUAAAGUGUGAGGAAAAGAGGGAUUAUGAGAUCAAAGGUGAUGACUGCUUGAAGGAAGAGAAUGAUGUAAUUGCAAGUCAACAAACAAAUCAAGAGAAAAUAAAUAUGUCCCAGGACCCCAAGAUUUGGAAGCAAAAUGAGUGGAUGAAAAUAAUUAAUAGAACUUUAAGAGAAAACAGAUUGUCUUUUAAAGAGGCAAACAAAAGCAAAUAUGAUAAGCAGGAGAUGAAGGAUAUUCUUUUCCAUGAGAACAAAAUAGAAAGGUUGACAUUUCAUGAUUUUUUCACAAAAAAAUUGAAUUAUAUUAGGAGGCGGAUGAGGACAUUUGCAGUGGAUAUGUGUACUCAUUUGCCAACUUCUUUUAUUUCAUUAAGAGUGGUCAAAAGUUUAUUUGAAUGUCUUGACUGGCUUAAAGUCUUUGUAGAAGUGUUAUCAAACAAUUCCAUUACUGAUCACGAAUUUAAAGAUGCCAUUUCUAUAUCUACUAUUGAUCAAAGUAGAGCUAGUUGCUGUACUUGGCAGGCUAAGUUGUGUAUAACCAGGAAAGAAUGCCUUAAAAUGCUGAGAUCUCUUCUAAAUAUCUUAGUUCUUCCUGAUUUUAGUGAUGAAUAUUCAAUCAAAAACUUUUGUCUCAGAAGAUCUCGCAUGCUUUUUUGUACUGCUGCGAGUUCUGCUAGAUUGCAUGCAGUAGAACACUGUAGACUAGAAAUGUUAGUUAUCGAUGAAGCUGCUCAACUCAAAGAAUGUGAGUCAAAUAUACCUUUACAACUUCCUGGUAUUCGUCAUGCUGUACUUAUUGGAGACGAGAAACAGUUGCCUGCCCUAGUCAAAAGUGAGAUUUCCGGCAAGGCAGGGUUCGGAAGAAGUUUGUUUGAAAGGCUGGUCCUCCUAGGUCAUGAAAAACACCUUCUCAAUAUUCAGUAUAGAAUGCAUCCAUCCAUUAGCUUGUUUCCAAAUAUGGAAUUCUAUGACAAACAAAUUUUGGAUUCUCCAAGGGUCAAAGAAAGAAGCUAUGGGAAGCAUUUUAUAGGUGGUGAUAUGUUUAAGUUCUACUCUUUCAUAAAUGUUUCUUAUGGACAAGAUGAAUUAGAUGAAGGGAAUAGCCGAAAAAAUAGGGUGGAAGUAGCUGUGGUAUCUGAGAUUGUUUUUGAGCUCUACAAAGAAUCAGUUUCUAGAACACGGACUGUUAGUGUUGGUGUUAUAUCUCCAUAUAAAGCUCAGGUUAUUGCCAUACAAGAUGCUAUUGGAAAAAGGAUUGGUGGUGAUGUUGAUCAUAACUUUUCUGUGAAGGUUUGUACUGUUGAUGGUUUCCAAGGUGGUGAAGAGGAUGUGAUAAUAAUAUCCACUGUAAGAUAUAAUAACAUGGGAUUUGUGGGUUUUAUUUCUAAUCUUCAAAGAACUAAUGUUGCUUUAACAAGAGCAAGGUAUUGUCUUUGGAUAGUAGGUAAUGGGGAAACUUUGAUGAAUAGUGGCUCUAUUUGGGAGAGAAUAGUCCUUGAUGCUAGGUCUCGAGGGUGUUAUCAUAAUGCUGACGAGGAUGAUAGGUUAUCUCAUGCUAUUACAACUUCCAUUAUUGAUAUUGGUCAAGUUGGUGAUCUAUUGCAUUUGAGUUCUCCACUCUUCAGGAAAGCAAGGUGGAAGGUUUGCUUCAAUCAAAGAUUUCUAAUCUCUAUGGCAAGAAUUAAGAGCUCUGAGAUUUGCCAGAAAAUAUGUUCCCUGCUGAGGCAACUUUCAAGUGGUUGGCGUCAGCCUAAACGGGAAAUAAAUCUUGGAGUUGUGGAUGAUAUUUCUUCCCAACUAUUGGAGCUGUACAAGGUCAAUGAGUCACUUUAUCUUGUUUGGACCAUCGAUGUUAUAAAGGACAACUCAAAUUAUGUUCAAAUUUUGAAGAUUUGGGAUGUUUUGCCAUUGUCUGAGGUAACCAAUUUGGCAAGGGAUAUUGACAUUUCAUACAGGAAUUAUUCCGCUGAUAUUCUUAGAUUCUGCAAAACCAGAUGUUAUGAUGGGAAAUUUGACAUUCCAGGGACAUGGCUUGCUAGUUCGAAUCAUCUGACAAAUAAUAAUCUUCCAGAUCCUAUGCAAGUUCUAUGCAACCAAUUUUCUUCACUCGGACUGAGGAACAUAAAUUAGAAUCAACAGUAUAUUACUCUCACCUCACCUUUGUUUUGAAAAAGAAUAUAUAAAAAAAUAAAAAAGAGGUGUGUUUUAAUGCGUAUUUUUUAAGGUGUUUAAACACGGAGGAGGUUAAUGUGGUGCAAGUAAAAUACAAAAGGGGUCAGAGUAAUAUACUCAAUUUCAACCAGUUAGAAGUUAUGGAAAUAUUAGAUUUUGGAAUCCUAUAUCAAAGCUGCUUUGGUUUGGAGAGCAAUAGUGAGUUUUUUGGGAAAGUAUCUGCUUCAACAGCGAGGUCAAUAGCAAUUGUGUAUAUACACAUAUAGAAGAGUAUACUCUGUGCAUACAGUCAUAGGUUAUGUAAAAAAUAAUCCCUCUUUUGGGUUUGCUUUGGCUAUAUUUCUGACAUGAUAGGACGAAGUAUGGUUUGUGACUCAAGACAAGUUAUAUUCUUCUACAGGAAUUUAACUCUUCUGGAGUAAGCUUUCACUUUAGAGAGAAAAGUGAAAAAUCUUAAUAAUCAUCGAUGAAAAAGAUCAACAGUUCAUAUUACUCGAACAUGUCCAACAAGCCAUACAUUUGUCAAAAUCUUGUCUUUUGUCAUUAAUGAUCGAGAUGUUUCACAUUUCCUUUGUGUAGCGAACAAGAGUAAAUUCCUUUCCGAAACAUGAAUAUUUGAGUAGUCUGAUUGUAUGUGUAAAUCAGCCAUUAGAAUGGUGUAAGGGAUGUCCUUUUUGUUAUAUUACACGUUGAAUGUUUCUGA